Molecule: ribosomal RNA, 484 nt
Filed under: uncultured bacterium
Lineage: Bacteria
Description: partial 16S ribosomal RNA
Rfam family: Bacterial small subunit ribosomal RNA
Source: RNAcentral
AUUGAACGCUGGCGGCAGGCCUAACACAUGCAAGUCGAGCGGAUGAAGGGAGCUUGCUCCUGGAUUCAGCGGCGGACGGGUGAGUAAUGCCUAGGAAUCUGCCUGGCAGUGGGGGAUAACGUCCGGAAACGGGCGCUAAUACCGCAUACGUCCUGAGGGAGAAAGUGGGGGAUCUUCGGACCUCACGCUAUCAGAUGAGCCUAGGUCGGAUUAGUUAGUUGGUGGGGUAAAGGCCUACCAAGGCGACGAUCCGUAACUGGUCUGAGAGGAUGAUCAGUCACACUGGAGCUUAGACACGGACCAGACUCCUACGAGAGGCAGCAGUGGGGAAUGUUAGACAGUGGGCGAAAGCCUGGUCCAGCCAGGCCGAGUGUGUUGAGGAGGUCUUCGGAGUGUAAAGCACUUUAAGUUGGGAGGAAGGGCAGUAGGUUGUGACCUAGCUGUUUUGACGGUACCGACAGAAUAAGCACCGGCUAACUACGUG